UAGUUUAAUAGAAAAUAUUGAAUUGUGAAUUCAAA
This 35-nucleotide transfer RNA is filed under the name Lasioglossum parvulum. RNAcentral's name for it is "tRNA-His". Lineage: Eukaryota; Metazoa; Arthropoda; Insecta; Hymenoptera; Halictidae. The record is from RNAcentral.